Long non-coding RNA from Myiozetetes cayanensis, 404 nucleotides. RefSeq lists it as uncharacterized. The transcript is spliced from 5 exons. Lineage: Eukaryota; Metazoa; Chordata; Aves; Passeriformes; Tyrannidae. The record is from RefSeq and is a predicted model, not a curated record.
GUGCAUACAAAGAAAAUAAAUUUUUAUGCCACUGCAGACUUAAACAGCAUGUGAAACCUAAGAAUCCAAGCACAGAAAGCCCAGUCAGUCUUUGGAACUUCCUUUCCUCCACCAUCAGUUACAGGAGGGCACAGAGGGACAAAUCUAAAGGGCACCGUCACCAUCACAACAGCACAGCAGUGAGUGCCCAGUGAGGGCUGUGGGGACAGAGCAAACCUCGGAGUCUGGAGGUGGAAAUGAGGGCACACAGGUACCUGACUUAAGGUUGAAGAGCAUUUUCCAGCUACCUGUCUUGUGCAUUGCUAAAAUAUACAAUGUUGAAGCAGCUUUCCAGUGAGGUCACACACUUCAGCUUGCCUGAGGGCGUCCUGAUCCGUGAGGAGAGAGGAGCAGGAAGAGUGGGG